This is a non-coding RNA of Alligator sinensis (Chinese alligator), 59 nucleotides long. NCBI's taxonomy places the organism in Eukaryota, Metazoa, Chordata, Crocodylia, Alligatoridae. The record is from Rfam.
CUGUUCUUCAUGACGGUCUGACCUUAAAUCACGAACGGGUCAGGCCUGAUGUUUGACAG